UAAUACGGAGGAUCCAAGCGUUAUCCGGAUUUAUUGGGUUUAAAGGGUGCGUAGGCGGUUUAAUAAGUUAGAGGUGAAAUCCCGUGGCUCAACCACGGAACUGCCUCUGAUACUGUUAGACUAGAGAAUGGUUGCUGUGGGCGGAAUGUGUGGUGUAGCGGUGAAAUGCUUAGAGAUCACACAGAACACCGAUUGCGAAGGCAGCUCACAAAGCCAUAUCUGACGCUGAGGCACGAAAGCGUGGGGAGCAAACAGGAUUAGAUACCCUGGUAGUCCACGCCGUAAACGAUGAUAACUCGUUGCCGGCGAUAUAUUGUCGGUGACUUAGCGAAAGCGAUAAGUUAUCCACCUGGGGAGUACGUUCGCAAGAAUG
RNAcentral lists this ribosomal RNA (373 nucleotides) under uncultured bacterium. RNAcentral describes it as "bacterial SSU rRNA". It matches the Rfam family "Bacterial small subunit ribosomal RNA", at positions 521 to 896 of the family's 1533-position model. The record is from RNAcentral.